GACGAACGCUGGCGGCGUGCCUAAUACAUGCAAGUCGAACGCUUCUUUUUCACCGAACUUCGGUUCAUCGAAAAAGAGGAGUGGCGAACGGGUGAGUAACACGUGGGUAACCUGCCCAUCAGAAGGGGAUAACACUUGGAAACAGGUGCUAAUACCGUAUAAUGCUUUUUCUCGCAUGAGAGCAAGCUGAAAGGCGCUUUUGCGUCACUGAUGGAUGGACCCGCGGUGCAUUAGCUAGUUGGUGAGGUAACGGCUCACCAAGGCCACGAUGCAUAGCCGACCUGAGAGGGUGAUCGGCCACACUGGGACUGAGACACGGCCCAGACUCCUACGGGAGGCAGCAGUAGGGAAUCUUCGGCAAUGGACGAAAGUCUGACCGAGCAACGCCGCGUGAGUGAAGAAGGUUUUCGGAUCGUAAAACUCUGUUGUUAGAGAAGAACAAGGAUGAGAGUAAAAUGUUCAUCCCUUGACGGAUCUAACC
Molecule: ribosomal RNA, 481 nt
Filed under: Enterococcus sp. oral taxon A43
Lineage: Bacteria; Bacillati; Bacillota; Bacilli; Lactobacillales; Enterococcaceae
Description: bacterial SSU rRNA
Rfam family: Bacterial small subunit ribosomal RNA
Source: RNAcentral